ACGAAAGUCUGAUGGAGCAACGCCGCGUGAGUGAAGAAGGCCUUCGGGUCGUAAAGCUCUGUUGUUAGGGAAGAACAAGUAUCGGAGUAACUGCCGGUACCUUGACGGUACCUAACCAGAAAGCCACGGCUAACUACGUGCCAGCAGCCGCGGUAAUACGUAGGUGGCAAGCGUUGUCCGGAAUUAUUGGGCGUAAAGCGCGCGCAGGCGGUCCUUUAAGUCUGAUGUGAAAGCCCACGGCUCAACCGUGGAGGGUCAUUGGAAACUGGGGGACUUGAGUGCAGAAGAGGAAAGCGGAAUUCCACGUGUAGCGGUGAAAUGCGUAGAGAUGUGGAGGAACACCAGUGGCGAAGGCGGCUUUCUGGUCUGUAACUGACGCUGAGGCGCGAAAGCGUGGGGAGCAAACAGGAUUAGAUACCCUGGUAGUCCACGCCGUAAACGAUGAGUGCUAAGUGUUAGGGGGUUUCCGCCCCUUAGUGCUGCAGCUAACGCAUUAAGCACUCCGCCUGGGGAGUAC
RNAcentral lists this ribosomal RNA (517 nucleotides) under uncultured bacterium. RNAcentral describes it as "bacterial SSU rRNA". It matches the Rfam family "Bacterial small subunit ribosomal RNA", at positions 375 to 883 of the family's 1533-position model. The record is from RNAcentral.